RNAcentral lists this ribosomal RNA (460 nucleotides) under uncultured bacterium. Its description in RNAcentral is "partial 16S ribosomal RNA". It matches the Rfam family "Bacterial small subunit ribosomal RNA", at positions 338 to 795 of the family's 1533-position model. The record is from RNAcentral.
CCUACGGGAGACAGCAGUGAGGAAUAUUGGUCAAUGGACGAGAGUCUGAACCAGCCAAGUAGCGUGAAGGAUGACUGCCCUAUGGGUUGUAAACUUCUUUUAUCUGGGAGUAAAGUGUUCCACGUGUGGGAUUUUGUAUGUACCAUAUGAAUAAGGAUCGGCUAACUCCGUGCCAGCAGCCGCGGUAAUACGGAGGAUCCGAGCGUUAUCCGGAUUUAUUGGGUUUAAAGGGAGCGUAGGUGGAUUGUUAAGUCAGUUGUGAAAGUUUGCGGGUCAACCGUAAAAUUGCAGUUGAAACUGGCAGUCUUGAGUACAGUAGAGGUGGGCGGAAUUCGUGGUGUAGCGGUGAAAUGCUUAGAUAUCACGAAGAACUCCGAUUGCGAAGGCAGUUCACUGGACUGCAACUGACACUGAGGCUCGAAAGUGUGGGUAUCAAACAGGAUUAGAUACCCGGGUAGUC